UGGGGAAUAUUGCACAAUGGGCGCAAGCCUGAUGCAGCCAUGCCGCGUGUGUGAAGAAGGCCUUCGGGUUGUAAAGCACUUUCAGCGAGGAGGAAGGGUAGUGUGUUAAUAGCACAUUGCAUUGACGUUACUCGCAGAAGAAGCACCGGCUAACUCCGUGCCAGCAGCCGCGGUAAUACGGAGGGUGCAAGCGUUAAUCGGAAUUACUGGGCGUAAAGCGCACGCAGGCGGUUUGUUAAGUCAGAUGUGAAAUCCCCGCGCUUAACGUGGGAACUGCAUUUGAAACUGGCAAGCUAGAGUCUUGUAGAGGGGGGUAGAAUUCCAGGUGUAGCGGUGAAAUGCGUAGAGAUCUGGAGGAAUACCGGUGGCGAAGGCGGCCCCCUGGACAAAGACUGAC
RNAcentral lists this ribosomal RNA (397 nucleotides) under uncultured bacterium. Its description in RNAcentral is "partial 16S ribosomal RNA". It matches the Rfam family "Bacterial small subunit ribosomal RNA", at positions 355 to 744 of the family's 1533-position model. The record is from RNAcentral.